AGAGUUUGAUCCUGGCUCAGGAUUAACGCUAGCGGCAGGCCUAAUACAUGCAAGUCGGGGGGUAACAGGGUAGCAAUACCGCUGACGACCGGCGCACGGGUGCGAAACACGUAUGCAAUCUGUCUUUAACUGUGGAACAACUCCGCGAAAGCGGAGCUAAUACCGCAUAAUAUCAUGGGGUGGCAUCACCUUAUGAUUAAACCUCCGGGGGUUAUUGAUGAGCAUGCGUCCGAUUAGCUAGUUGGUGAGGUAACGGCUCACCAAGGCAACGAUCGGUAGGGGGUCUGAGAGGACGAUCCCCCACACUGGUACUGAGACACGGACCAGACUCCUACGGGAGGCAGCAGUAAGGAAUAUUGGACAAUGGGCGCAAGCCUGAUCCAGCCAUGCCGCGUGCAGGAUGACGGUGUUAUGCACUGUAAACUGCUUUUACUCGGGAAAAAACCCCUGCAUUCUUGCGGGGCUGAUUGUACUGAGAGAAUAAGGGACGGCUAACUUCGUGCCAGCAGCCGCGGUAAUACGAAGGUCCCAAGCGUUAUCCGGAUUUAUUGGGUUUAAAGGGUGCGUAGGCGGGCUAUUAAGUCAGUGGUGAAAUCUCCAUGCCUAACAUGGAAACUGCCAUUGAUAUUGAUGGUCUUGAGUACAUUUGAAGUGGGCGGAAUGUGUCAUAGUGGUGAAAUACUUAGAUAUGACACAGAACACCGAUUGCGUAGGCAGCUCACUAAACUGUAACUGACGCUGAGGCACGAAAGCGUGGGGAGCAAACAGGAUUAGAUACCCUAGUAGUCC
RNAcentral lists this ribosomal RNA (789 nucleotides) under uncultured bacterium. RNAcentral describes it as "bacterial SSU rRNA". It matches the Rfam family "Bacterial small subunit ribosomal RNA", at positions 8 to 796 of the family's 1533-position model. The record is from RNAcentral.